AUUGAACGCUGGCGGCAUGCCUUACACAUGCAAGUCGAACGGCAGCAUGAUCUAGCUUGCUAGAUUGAUGGCGAGUGGCGAACGGGUGAGUAAUACAUCGGAACGUGCCCUGUAGUGGGGGAUAACUAGUCGAAAGAUUAGCUAAUACCGCAUACGACCUGAGGGUGAAAGUGGGGGACCGCAAGGCCUCAUGCUAUAGGAGCGGCCGAUGUCUGAUUAGCUAGUUGGUGAGGUAAAGGCUCACCAAGGCGACGAUCAGUAGCUGGUCUGAGAGGACGAUCAGCCACACUGGGACUGAGACACGGCCCAGACUCCUACGGGAGGCAGCAGUGGGGAAUUUUGGACAAUGGGCGAAAGCCUGAUCCAGCAAUGCCGCGUGUGUGAAGAAGGCCUUCGGGUUGUAAAGCACUUUUGUCCGGAAAGAAAUGGCUCUGGUUAAUACCCGGGGUCGAUGACGGUACCGGAAGAAUAAGGACCGGCUAACUACGUG
RNAcentral lists this ribosomal RNA (490 nucleotides) under uncultured bacterium. RNAcentral's name for it is "partial 16S ribosomal RNA". It matches the Rfam family "Bacterial small subunit ribosomal RNA", at positions 30 to 507 of the family's 1533-position model. The record is from RNAcentral.